This is a microRNA precursor of Notamacropus eugenii (tammar wallaby), 73 nucleotides long. The record is from Ensembl. Lineage: Eukaryota; Metazoa; Chordata; Mammalia; Diprotodontia; Macropodidae.
AACAUAGGUCAAAGUUCACAGGGGAUCAAGAAAUAUUAUUCUUGUAUAAUCUGUGCACUCUGACUUAAAAUAC